UGGUAGGGCGUUCACACGUCAUACAAUGGUCGGUACGAGAGGGUUGGCCAAGCCGCGAGGUGGAGGCCAAUCCCACAAAGCCGAUCGUAGUCCGGAUUGUUCUCUGCAACUCGAGAGCAUGAAGUCGGAAUCGCUAGUAAUCGCAGGUCAGCAUACUGCGGUGAAUACGUUCCCGGGUCUU
This 181-nucleotide ribosomal RNA is filed under the name uncultured Thiobacillus sp. RNAcentral describes it as "partial 16S ribosomal RNA". It matches the Rfam family "Bacterial small subunit ribosomal RNA", at positions 1205 to 1382 of the family's 1533-position model. Lineage: Bacteria; Pseudomonadati; Pseudomonadota; Betaproteobacteria; Nitrosomonadales; Thiobacillaceae. The record is from RNAcentral.